This 237-nucleotide long non-coding RNA is filed under the name Durio zibethinus. Its description in RNAcentral is "long non-coding RNA (DZIB_LNC001730)". The record is from RNAcentral. Lineage: Eukaryota; Viridiplantae; Streptophyta; Magnoliopsida; Malvales; Malvaceae.
AACCAAUUGGUCAGCCUCAUAAAAGGUGUGAAGCUCUUCUCUGACAGAUUCUCUGAAUAUGUCAUAAUGUCUGGUAACUUCUCCUUCUCCAACAAGGACAUCAACAUCUUCUAUAAGACAUCAACAUCUUCUAUAAGAACUGAAGAAGGCUCUACAGCUAGUCUAGGGAAAUCAGCUUCAAAUUCAUUUACUCGUUCAAAUUCUUCCAGAUGAAGUUCAGACAUUUCUGUUGCAAAC